UACGGAGGGUGCGAGCGUUGUCCGGAAUCACUGGGCGUAAAGGGCGCGUAGGCGGCAGGCCAAGCGUGCGGUGAAAGUCCGGGGCUCAACCCCGGAUCGGCCGUGCGGACUGGUUUGCUAGAGCACUGUAGAGGCGAGUGGAAUUCCGGGUGUAGCGGUGGAAUGCGUAGAGGUCCGGAAGAACACCGGUGGCGAAGGCGGCCUGCUGGGCUAUGGCUGACACUGAGGCGCGACAGCGUGGGGAGCAAACAGG
RNAcentral lists this ribosomal RNA (253 nucleotides) under uncultured bacterium. RNAcentral describes it as "partial 16S ribosomal RNA". It matches the Rfam family "Bacterial small subunit ribosomal RNA", at positions 524 to 776 of the family's 1533-position model. The record is from RNAcentral.